RNAcentral lists this microRNA precursor (66 nucleotides) under Fukomys damarensis (Damara mole-rat). RNAcentral's name for it is "miRNA (ENSFDAG00000004557.1)". The record is from RNAcentral. Lineage: Eukaryota; Metazoa; Chordata; Mammalia; Rodentia; Bathyergidae.
GUCGUGAGGGAGGAGGGGUGGGUGUGACCAGUGUCUUGUCACAGUGGCCACCUUGCUCCUCUCCCG